Molecule: ribosomal RNA, 253 nt
Filed under: uncultured bacterium
Lineage: Bacteria
Description: partial 16S ribosomal RNA
Rfam family: Bacterial small subunit ribosomal RNA
Source: RNAcentral
UACGGAGGGUGCAAGCGUUAUCCGGAUUCACUGGGUUUAAAGGGUGCGUAGGCGGCCCUGUAAGUCAGUGCUGAAAUAUCCCGGCUUAACCGGGAGGGAGGCAUUGAUACUGCGGGGCUAGAGUACAGAUGAGGUAGGCGGAAUUGACGGUGUAGCGGUGAAAUGCGUAGAUAUCGGUAGGAACACCAGUGGCGAAGGCGGUCUCCUGGGGCAUUCUUGACGCUGAGGCGCGAAAGCUGGGGGAGCAAACGGG